GUGGCGGACGGGUGAGGAACGCGUGAGAACCUGCCUCAAGGUCGGGGACAACAGUUGGAAACGACUGCUAAUACCGGAUGAGCCUUCGGGUAAAAGAUUUAUCGCCUAGAGAGGGGCUCGCGUCUGAUUAGCUAGAUGGUGAGGUAAAGGCUUACCAUGGCGACGAUCAGUAGCUGGUCUGAGAGGAUGAGCAGCCACACUGGGACUGAGACACGGCCCAGACUCCUACGGGAGGCAGCAGUGGGGAAUUUUCCGCAAUGGGCGAAAGCCUGACGGAGCAAUACCGCGUGAGGGAGGAAGGCUCUCGGGUUGUAAACCUCAAAACUUAGGGAAGAAAAAAAUGACGGUACCUAAUGUAAGCAUCGGCUAACUCCGUGCCAGCAGCCGCGGUAAUACGGAGGAUGCAAGCGUUAUCCGGAAUCAUUGGGCGUAAAGAGUCCGUAGGUGGCACUUCAAGUCUGCUUUCAAAGACCGAAGCUCAACUUCGGAAAGGGAGUGGAAACUGAAGAGCUAGAGUAUAGUAGGGGUAGAGGGAAUUCCUAGUGUAGCGGUGAAAUGCGUAGAGAUUAGGAAGAACACCAGUGGCGAAGGCGCUCUACUGGGCAUAUACUGAUACUGAGGGACGAAAGCUAGGGGAGCGAAAGGGAUUAGAUACCCCUGUAGUCCUA
Molecule: ribosomal RNA, 668 nt
Filed under: uncultured Chroococcales cyanobacterium
Lineage: Bacteria; Bacillati; Cyanobacteriota; Cyanophyceae; Chroococcales
Description: bacterial SSU rRNA
Rfam family: Bacterial small subunit ribosomal RNA
Source: RNAcentral